This 559-nucleotide ribosomal RNA is filed under the name uncultured bacterium. RNAcentral's name for it is "bacterial SSU rRNA". It matches the Rfam family "Bacterial small subunit ribosomal RNA", at positions 1 to 525 of the family's 1533-position model. The record is from RNAcentral.
UAGAGUUUGAUCAUGGCUCAGGACGACCGUUGGCGGCGUGCCUAAUACAUGCAAGUCGAACGCACUCUCGUUUAGAUUGAAGGAGCUUGCUCCUGAUUGAUAAACAUUUGAGUGAGUGGCGGACGGGUGAGUAACACGUGGGUAACCUGCCCUAAAGUGGGGGAUAACAUUUGGAAACAGAUGCUAAUACCGCAUAAAACCUAACACCGCAUGGUGUAGGGUUGAAAGAUGGUUUCGGCUAUCACUUUAGGAUGGACCCGCGGUGCAUUAGUUAGUUGGUGAGGUAAAGGCUCACCAAGACCGUGAUGCAUAGCCGACCUGAGAGGGUAAUCGGCCACACUGGGACUGAGACACGGCCCAGACUCCUACGGGAGGCAGCAGUAGGGAAUCUUCCACAAUGGACGAAAGUCUGAUGGAGCAACGCCGCGUGAGUGAAGAAGGUUUUCGGAUCGUAAAACUCUGUUGUUGGAGAAGAAUGUAUCUGAUAGUAACUGAUCAGGUAGUGACGGUGUCCAACCAGAAAGCCACGGCUAACUACGUGCCAGCAGCCGCGGUAAUA